RNAcentral lists this ribosomal RNA (450 nucleotides) under uncultured Anaerolineaceae bacterium. RNAcentral describes it as "bacterial SSU rRNA". It matches the Rfam family "Bacterial small subunit ribosomal RNA", at positions 917 to 1382 of the family's 1533-position model. The record is from RNAcentral. Lineage: Bacteria; Bacillati; Chloroflexota; Anaerolineae; Anaerolineales; Anaerolineaceae.
GGGACCGCACAAGCAGCGGAGCGUGUGUUUAAUUCGUUGCUACACGAAGAACCUUACCUGGGUUUGACAUAUAGGUUGUAGGGAACCGAAAAGGGACCGACCCUUCGGGGAGCCUAUACAGGUGUUGCAUGGCUGUCGUCAGCUCGUGUCGUGAGAUGUUCGGUUAAGUCCGCUAACGAGCGCAACCCUCGUCGUAUGUUAUAUGUGUCAUACGAGACUGCCGGUAAAAGCCGGAGGAAGGUGAGGAUGAUGUCAAGUCAGCAUGACCUUUAUAUCCAGGGCUACACACACGCUACAAUGGUCUGUACAAUGGGUAGCCAAGCCGCGAGGCGGAGCCAAUCCUGAAAGCAGGCCUCAGUUCAGAUUGCAGUCUGCAACUCGACUGCAUGAAGCCGGAGUUGCUAGUAACCGCAGGUCAGCAAUACUGCGGUGAAUACGUUCCCGGGUCUU